AACACUGGGUUUUAAUUGUGUCACAGG
RNAcentral lists this non-coding RNA (27 nucleotides) under Cricetulus griseus (Chinese hamster). Lineage: Eukaryota; Metazoa; Chordata; Mammalia; Rodentia; Cricetidae. The record is from RNAcentral.